This is a long non-coding RNA of Haemorhous mexicanus (house finch), 774 nucleotides long. RefSeq lists it as uncharacterized. The record is from RefSeq and is a predicted model, not a curated record. The transcript has 2 exons. NCBI's taxonomy places the organism in Eukaryota, Metazoa, Chordata, Aves, Passeriformes, Fringillidae.
UUGUUCUGGAGAUUUAUACAGCAUAACUGAAAAUACUCUGAAAGGAUCAGCCAAGGCUGCAAUUUUAUAAUCAGAAAGAAUCAGUUUUUAAAAGUGGCCAAAGGAGAGUUGUUGAGCUUUAGUUUGUGUCUCUUUUGAGAAACAGGCACUUCCAAAAGUAUUUUGCUUUUAAUUGUUCCUCUUUUUGUUUUGAUUUUCUUUUGAACAGCAACAGGGAUUUUAUCCUCUCUGAAGAAGUGUGAAAGCUUUUCCUGUAAUUUCUUGCAUCACCCCAAGAGGCAGGAAAGUCUGGAGGGUGCCAGAAUGUCCCACCAUUAACAUGGCGGUGGUGCCUCCCAGGACACAAACCCUUCCCGAGCAAAGAGCGCAGCACCUUUGGGGGAACGAUGUGGAAUAAAACCGCUGAACUCCAGCAGAGCUCUGGCCAAACCAAACUCCCACUCUUCACGCUCUUUGCAGCUGAACGAAUUGAACAUCGGUGGGAACGACGAAAUUCCCCUUCCCUGGGAAGAUGCAGGGGGUGAUAACACGCGGCAAAUUUUCCCAGCGAAAAUACCCCAAAAUAUUUCAGCUAGUGGCAAGUCCGUCCCAGUCAGAAAUCCUGCCCAGCCUCUCCUAACAAAUUAUAAUGCGCCCAUUCUGCAGUCCUUGGCACAUGCCGCAAACAUUUUCCUGUCAGUCGUGGCUCCGGGGGCUUUGUGUGCCAGAGCUCCAGAUGAGUCAUUAGGAUGCUGAUGGAGGGGGAGGAAUGAAAAGAAAAAACAAAACCAAGAA